This 464-nucleotide ribosomal RNA is filed under the name uncultured bacterium. Its description in RNAcentral is "partial 16S ribosomal RNA". It matches the Rfam family "Bacterial small subunit ribosomal RNA", at positions 30 to 507 of the family's 1533-position model. The record is from RNAcentral.
AUUGAACGCUGGCGGCAGGCCUAACACAUGCAAGUCGAGCGGAUGAAGGGAGCUUGCUCCUGGAUUCAGCGGCGGACGGGUGAGUAAUGCCUAGGAAUCUGCCUGGUAGUGGGGGAUAAUGUCCGGAGACGGGCGCUAAUACCGCAUACGUCCUGAGGGAGAAAGUGGGGGAUCUUCGGACUCGGCGCUAUGAGAUGGGCCUAGGUCGGAAUAGCUAGUUGGUGGGGUAGGGGCCUACCAAGGCUGCGAUCGGUAGCUGGCCUGAGAGGAUGGACAGUCACACUAGGCCUGAGCGAGGGGCCAGAGUGGUAAAUUGGGCAGCAGGGGAGAAUCUGGGACAACGGGGGGACGCGUGUGAAGAAGGUCUUCGGAUUGUAAAGCACGUUAAGUUGUGAGGAAGGGCAGUAAGUUAAUACCUUGCUGUUUUGACGUUACCAACAGAAUAAGCACCGGCUAACUUCGUG